RNAcentral lists this ribosomal RNA (474 nucleotides) under uncultured organism. RNAcentral describes it as "partial 16S ribosomal RNA". It matches the Rfam family "Bacterial small subunit ribosomal RNA", at positions 331 to 797 of the family's 1533-position model. The record is from RNAcentral.
GUACACUCCUACGGGAGGCAGCAGUGGGGAAUUUUGGACAAUGGGCGAAAGCCUGAUCCAGCAAUGCCGCGUGAGUGAAGAAGGCCUUCGGGUUGUAAAGCUCUUUUGUCAGGGAAGAAACGGUGAGAGCUAAUAUCUCUUGCUAAUGACGGUACCUGAAGAAUAAGCACCGGCUAACUACGUGCCAGCAGCCGCGGUAAUACGUAGGGUGCAAGCGUUAAUCGGAAUUACUGGGCGUAAAGCGUGCGCAGGCGGUUUUGUAAGUCUGAUGUGAAAUCCCCGGGCUCAACCUGGGAAUUGCAUUGGAGACUGCAAGGCUAGAAUCUGGCAGAGGGGGGUAGAAUUCCACGUGUAGCAGUGAAAUGCGUAGAUAUGUGGAGGAACACCGAUGGCGAAGGCAGCCCCCUGGGUCAAGAUUGACGCUCAUGCACGAAAGCGUGGGGAGCAAACAGGAUUAGAAACCCCAGUAGUCCC